GAUGAACGCUGGCGGCGUGCCUAAUACAUGCAAGUCGAGCGAACGGACGAGAAGCUUGCUUCUCUGAUGUUAGCGGCGGACGGGUGAGUAGCACGUGGAUAACCUACCUAUAAGACUGGGAUAACUUCGGAAAACCGGAGCUAAUACCGGAUAAUAUUUUGAACCGCAUGGUUCAAAAGUGAAAGACGGUCUUGCUGUCACUUAUAGAUGGAUCCGCGCUGCAUUAGCUGGUUGGUAAGGUAACGGCUUACCAAGGCAACGAUGCAUAGCCGACCUGAGAGGGUGAUCGGCCACACUGGAACUGAGACACGGUCCAGACUCCUACGGGAGGCAGCAGUAGGGAAUCUUCCGCAAUGGGCGAAAGCCUGACGGAGCAACGCCGCGUGAGUGAUGAAGGUCUUCGGAUCGUAAAACUCUGUUAUUAGGGAAGAACAUAUGUGUAAGUAACUGUGCACAUCUUGACGGUACCUAAUCAGAAAGCCACGGCUAACUACGUG
RNAcentral lists this ribosomal RNA (497 nucleotides) under uncultured bacterium. Its description in RNAcentral is "partial 16S ribosomal RNA". It matches the Rfam family "Bacterial small subunit ribosomal RNA", at positions 28 to 507 of the family's 1533-position model. The record is from RNAcentral.